CUCGCGAGCCCAUCAUCCAUAAUCGCCCGCUCCGCUUCGGUCGCCUCACCGCCAGCUUGCGUCGCCGCCAGCUCUCCUCGCCAGAUCCACUGCUCCGCCGGCCAGCUCGAUCCGCCUCGCACAUCCACCUCGCCGGCCAGCUUCCGCCCCCUGUUUCUCCUUCGAUCCAUGCCGUCCAGCGUCACGACUGCCCCCUAUUCCUCUCCACCGAUGCGUACCCCGGGCGACGGUUCUCCAUCCUGGCAUUAGCAGUUCGAGGCCCCAAUCAUGGCUGCGAUUCGUGCUUUGCCGGGCUCCACCAUCGAUUAAAUCCGCUGCAUUGGGGUUUCUCCUGCCGGCCGUAGAACAGGCAUCUGAUUGCAAAAAUUCCGCCCUAUUCAAAGCACGCACUUCCAAAUCCAAGACAUUUCGUUCCGCUCGAUGUAGUCAUGCUUCCUCAUAUCCAGCACAAGGGCUAAGGUGACGCAACCUCUAGGCAAUGUUGUUUGUUGGUGGUUGCCUUGUUGCCGACGAAGAACUCGAGGUGCACGUGGAGCUCACACAUGAUCGGCUACUUCAACGCGCAGUGAUGCUGGCUAUGCAGAAGUGAAAUUAUUGUUGUUUGGAUAAAAGUGUAUAAUGUUACCAUAGAAAUAGAAAUAAUGCUAGUUAAAUUUGUAUAAUGUGAAUAGUCAAAAAAAAUUGUAUAAUGUUCUUAUCA
This is a long non-coding RNA of Triticum aestivum (bread wheat), 700 nucleotides long. RefSeq lists it as uncharacterized. Lineage: Eukaryota; Viridiplantae; Streptophyta; Magnoliopsida; Poales; Poaceae. The transcript is spliced from 2 exons. The record is from RefSeq and is a predicted model, not a curated record.